Molecule: ribosomal RNA, 261 nt
Filed under: uncultured prokaryote
Description: partial 16S ribosomal RNA
Rfam family: Bacterial small subunit ribosomal RNA
Source: RNAcentral
UACGUAGGUGGCAAGCGUUGUCCGGAUUUAUUGGGCGUAAAGCGAGCGCAGGCGGUUCCUUAAGUCUGAUGUGAAAGCCCACGGCUCAACCGUGGAAGGUCAUUGGAAACUGGGGAACUUGAGUGCAGAAGAGGAGAGUGAAAUUCCAUGUGUAGCGGUGAAAUGCGUAGAUAUAUGGAGGAACACCAGUGGCGAAGGCGACUCUCUGGUCUGUAACUGACGCUGAGGCUCGAAAGCGUGGGGAGCAAACAGGAUUAGAUA